Long non-coding RNA from Cydia fagiglandana, 1439 nucleotides. RefSeq lists it as uncharacterized. The record is from RefSeq and is a predicted model, not a curated record. NCBI's taxonomy places the organism in Eukaryota, Metazoa, Arthropoda, Insecta, Lepidoptera, Tortricidae. The transcript is spliced from 2 exons.
GUGUCGUGUUUAUAAUUAUGUUAAAUCUUAUUUAUCUGUUUUCAAGUAAGUACUAAACGUUUAUUAUAAUAUUGACUGCUGUUAACUCCCAUCAUAAUUAUAUUUUGUGAUCCAAACCAAAGUAUUCCAAUCGUUACAAGUCACUUGUUUUUUUUUGUGGUUACAAAAAUACAAAUAUAACAAUCAACUCCAGCUACAAUUAAAGCUACCGAUGUUGCACCGUCAACAAGGCGUUCCCAGAAGCUAUCAUCUCAAUGCGUUUUACUUAUAAAUGAUCAGAAAAUCAAGCGCCUGUGGAGUUACACUUGCUCAUAAGCUAGGUUUUUGUCCACUUGGUUGUUUGCCACCAUUAUGGUUUGUGAAGUGAAAAACUGCUGAAACUAGACAGGUAAGGUUUAUUUUGAUUUGGAUGCAAAUUUAGUUACAAAUAUCGUUUGUAAUCUCAAUCAGAACGUAAAUGUUAGAGUAUAGGAAAUAUAUUGCACAACGCGAUGGUGGAUUUUAAAACAUAGGACGAUGAUACAGUCAACGGUAAAAAUAUGGGUGUAGACAACUUACUCAAAAAUAUGUCCCAUAGUUCUUAAUUCAUUGACAUAAGAUUUAUGGGACAUAUUUUUGAAAUGAUUUGUACACCCAUAUUUUUACCGUUUACUGUACAUUAUGAAUUCGCUAUCCUUUGCGGAAAUUAGUAAAGUUAUUUUACUAUUGUAUUAGAUUUGAGUGUUGGAACCUAAAUGAAAACUCCUUUAUUACUAGCAUUUUCUAUUUACCAUAGUGCAUGUUAGUUACUACUGUUGUUCAAUAUUGGGGUUUGAUUUGCUAAGUUUCCGAGAAGUGGAAGUUGGAAUAAGGAUUGACGUAUUAUGUGAUAUUCAGGAUUAACCUAUCAAUUGUGUCUUGUGGUUUCAAAUCUUGGUUGUGCUGUAACUGCAACACUCCUGUACAUCGGUGGACCUUAUUAAAAAGGCAUAAGGUCCACCGAUGUACACAGUGUGGGCGAUGGUUUAGAUAGAGCAGAAAAAUAACUAAAUAAAAGAAAAAAGAUGACUAAAUGUGACGUCCCACGGGUAGAGGUACCUUACGGCGGGUGGCGCUUACGCUAUUAUUAACGCCGCUCCAAUAUUAUUGCGGCGCUAUGCGACGUAAGCGCCGGCCGCCAUAAGGCCCAUAAGGUACCUUUUUCUGUGGAACGUCACAAAUAUUUAGUCAGAAUCCUUAUGAUAGAGAAGAGGUUAAAUUAAGAAUCCUGAAUGUCGCAUUACAUAGGGGCGUUAGACCUUAGCGCGUCACAGACGGAAAGCCCGUCUUUUACUGUGAUAAAAUUGGAACCAGUUGUGAAUGCUGGGGUGGGUGUAGCUACAUUCAUUAUCCUUGUAGUUUUAAGGCAGAGAUAUAAUAUUGUAGAGCUUUUAAUAUGUUUUAAUAAAAAUUAAGUGAUA